GACAGAGGGUGCUAGCGUUGUUCGGAAUUACUGGGCGUAAAGGGCGCGUAGGCGGUCUGUUAAGUUCGGUGUGAAAUCCCCUGGCUCAACUGGGGAACUGCGCUGGAGACUGGCAGACUCGAGUACCGGAGAGGAGAGUGGAAUUCUUGGUGUAGCAGUGAAAUGCGUAGAUAUCAAGAGGAACACCAGUGGCGAAGGCGAGUCCCUGGACGAUACCUGACACUGAGGCACGAAAGCCAAGGGAGCAAACAGG
RNAcentral lists this ribosomal RNA (253 nucleotides) under uncultured bacterium. RNAcentral's name for it is "partial 16S ribosomal RNA". It matches the Rfam family "Bacterial small subunit ribosomal RNA", at positions 524 to 776 of the family's 1533-position model. The record is from RNAcentral.